Molecule: ribosomal RNA, 420 nt
Filed under: Deltaproteobacteria bacterium
Lineage: Bacteria; Pseudomonadati; Myxococcota; Myxococcia
Description: bacterial SSU rRNA
Rfam family: Bacterial small subunit ribosomal RNA
Source: RNAcentral
UCUUUUGAGAGUUUGAUCCUGGCUCAGAGCGAACGCUGGCGGCGUGCCUAACACAUGCAAGUCGAGCGCGAAAGUCCCCUCGGGGACGAGUAGAGCGGCGAACGGGUGAGUAAUACAUGGGUAAUCUGCCCCUAAGACCGGGAUAACCUUGCGAAAGCGGGGCUAAUACCGGAUAAGACCACGUAACACAAGUUACGUGGUAAAAGGUAGCAUGUAUCUGAUACGUGCUAUCACUUAGGGAUGAGCCCAUGGCCUAUCAGCUAGUUGGUGAGGUAAUGGCUCACCAAGGCUAUGACGGGUAGCUGGUCUGAGAGGACGGCCAGCCACACUGGGACUGAGACACGGCCCAGACUCCUACGGGAGGCAGCAGUGGGGAAUAUUGGGCAAUGGGCGAAAGCCUGACCCAGCGACGCCGCGUGG